Aegilops tauschii subsp. strangulata is the source of this 2587-nucleotide RNA transcript. RefSeq lists it as uncharacterized. The record is from RefSeq and is a predicted model, not a curated record. Lineage: Eukaryota; Viridiplantae; Streptophyta; Magnoliopsida; Poales; Poaceae.
GGUUGCUUCCGCCCUCCUCUUUCACAGAAUAAAGAAGCUAGUCUCGUUUUGCAUCUUAUGGAAACCACAAGUUCUUUCAGAAACAAAACUUUCUAGAGACCACUCCAUUUGUCCUGCUGUCCUGGCAGUACAUAUAUAAGUGAUAAUCCACACAAAGAAUGGAAAGCCAUCCAUAAAUAAAGAAAAGGCCAUCUUCUAUCUACCUCUAGAAGCAUAGCUGUAGCUGGCUUGAGUAGCCAUCAUCAUCAUCAUCCCAAAGAAGAAGAGGAGGAAGAAGAAGAUGCAAGACUGGGGUCCGGUGCUCAUCUCCUUCAUGCUCUUCAUCCUUCUAUCCCCGGGGCUCCUCUUCCAGAUCCCCGGCAAAUCACGGACGAUCGAGUGCGGCAAAUUCCACACGAGCGUAGUCUCCAUCCUCAUCCACACCAUCAUCUUCUGCGCGCUCAAUGCCUUCUUCCUCAUUGUCGUUGGCGUCCGCAUCGAGUUCGGCUCCUCAUCAUGAGUAGUAGAGUACCCCGCUUCACCCUGUUCUACCUGUUUAUUUUUCUCUUUCUCUGUCUCGUUUGGUUCUUGCUGCUUGUUAAUUAGUUUGCCUGUGCUCACUGGGAUAUGUUACAUGGUAAAAUACCCGCAUAUGUUACAUGGUGGAAUCAUGUGAGUUUUGUAUUAUUGAGAUUUAACAACAGCGUUACUGUAUAUGUCAGGGAUCAUACUUUUUCGUUAAUGGAUUUUUUUAUUAGUGUAUCAAGCUGUUACAAAUAGAUAAAUUGGGCUAGACAUCAAAGUUAUACGGCAAAGAAUUACUUCCUUUGUUGCAUGUAGUGAAUAAUCACUUUAUUUUGUUGUCUAUCUCUUUGUUAUGUUGCUAUUAUGCGGAGACCGGAAGUUUUAUGCUCUUUUCGAUUUUUCUUUCUUCUUAUGUCACUGUUGACAUAUGCAUUGUGAUGGACAUGGAAAUGGAACAAGAAAUCCAAAACAUCAUGUAUACAGUACAAGCAAGUUUUGACCAUCCAUCCUAUAAGCAGAGCAGGAGCAGUUAGGUUUCGAAACGCAUCCAAACAAUAUAUAAUUAUGUUAUUCUGUUUACAGACACAAUUAAUUAUGUUAGAAGAGUUAUAUUAAUUGCUGUCGCUGAUAUGAUAACAACUCAAUUUAGUCGCAAGAAUGGCUCAAAGUAAGAAAUCUAAAGAUCAUCCUAACAGAAGUUUGCGUAUUACAGGAAAUGUGCAUACAUAACAAUGUGGAGGUCUGUCCAUAUCAAGCAGCAACACAAGUCAAAUAUAAACACUUGAAAUCACGCAGCAAUAAAAAAGGACGUACAUUGAUUUGGGCUGGAAACUUUAUCCAGCUUAAUUGGUUCUCACAUAUAUUCGCUGGAGUAUAUGUGUCGUUGGAGUAUAUAUGGUUGCUGCAAAUUCAGGCAUCAAAUCAUUCAAAUAUUUGUGGUAGAGAAAACAGGUCCAGGCGGGGUCAUGUCCUUGACCAGCACAAAAUUUGUUUCUUUUAGGUGUUGUGUGUCAUCUACAUAAUUUGUUUUCUUUAUCCUCUACCACUAUCUUUUUUUCCAAUGGAAAGCGAAGCAUGGAGCUUGAGGUAGAAUAUGCUGGGAUUGGUUCAGGAUUUGGCAAUCAUCUUCAUACCUAAGAAAUGUUUCCAUUGAUUAAAUCAAUGUGGAACAAUUCAGAAAGGUCUUUAUCUCUUUGUGAGGAAAAAAAAUGGAGGGUGACAGGCAUCAUGACUCGCUCUUGUCGGAGCCCCCCUCCCCCUUAUCUAUUGGCCGGAUCCUUGGUGUGCACCUGGAACUUUACGAUGUCAUGGCCAGGCUGGAAUGACGUUGACUUUGUGCAAUUGGUGAAGAUUAUUUAGUCUUUGUUGACCUUGGUCCUCAUGUCAGCAAUCUCCUUCUUUGCUAAGGCCAUUGCCUCGGCCUCGACCGCUAGAACCAACGUGGUCUUCUGAGUCUUAUGAGAUCGCUCAAUGUUCCCCAAGAUGAUGACGACAUUCGGGCCUGACAUCUUGAGCUUCUUGUAAGCAUAAUGUGUGACGAUGCCAAAGCGCGCGAACGCGGUCUGACACGAGGAGGGAGUGAUAACCACACUUGAAAGGGACUACGUCAAAGCUUAGAGGAUCCAAACAGUAGACGUAUGAGGUACCGAACACCCCGUCUGGUGUGACCCUUCUAGUGCGCCUCAUGCCCGUGAUAUAUAAUACCCUUGAACUUGGUUUUCACCAGCUCGAUACAUGACUUGUCGAAGUGCAUCUUUCUCAGUGUAUCGACGUAGCUGAGGUUCAAGCUCGAUGAGGUGGAAACUGUUGAAUAUCGGGUCCAAGACAAGUGCGGGCAAACCGCCAUGGUGGACGAUAGUCUGGUGGUCAUGACAAAUACAUGUGAUCAGGAUUUUCAACCAAGGAUUGUAUGUUGGCUCAAAGGACUCCACGGAAUAUACCUCGUGGACAGCACGCUUUCGAUCUUUCUUGGAGGUGUGAGAUGGAUAAAUCUUAUUUACAUCCUUUGUUUGUAGUGGGUACUGCUUCUGCCUGCCGUUCCCCUUUACCGGGUUGUAGCAUGUCCUUAUCGUUGUUGUUACAA